Non-coding RNA from Oncorhynchus mykiss (rainbow trout), 3064 nucleotides. Lineage: Eukaryota; Metazoa; Chordata; Actinopteri; Salmoniformes; Salmonidae. The record is from RefSeq and is a predicted model, not a curated record.
CAAUAAUGAUAACGUUAAAUAUAAGCAUUAUUUUAUCAAUAACAGUAUACAAUAUCAAUGUAUAACUGUACUUCGCUAUUUUAAACUCGUCAAAGGGAAAAAGAGUUCCACCGGGGUGAAGAGACGGUGGGCAUUUCCCAACGCCCUUCCGGAACCGUAUUUUAACCCUGGGAUUCAGGUCGGACCUCCUUUAUCAGCACACCGUGGCAUCCAUCACUGCUGAGGAAUAGACGUAAACAAGACAUUACUUUGAACUGUGACUAUUUACUUGAGAAUGAUGAUGGUUAAAAUUAUAACAAUGACUGUUACCACGUAAACUAUGAAGCGUGCACGCAACAUAGAAAACAAUGAUAGCAAAUGUCAAACUGUAUUUCUGCAAUACAGUUACGUAUGGGAUAUAAGAAACAAAAGCUGUGUGUCGCGUUGUCAUUUAUAUAAAAUUAACAUGAUAUUUGUUAUGGCCUGUGUACACUUGCACGCGGUAAACUACCGCGUGGCUCGCUUGUGGGCAUCCUGGCAGCAGCAGUUCUGUUGUGCAACAAAUAUCUGGGUAUUAAAUGGGUAAAUAGUUCAAUCUAUUCUCCAUUAACAGUUAAAAAGUUGUGUGCUCUAACCCGCUCUGGUGACACUUCGCUGCCCUGUUUCCAAUCGUCCACAUUGCUGCUGGGAGAACCUAUUUAAAAUACAGAGCUGUGAAACCCUGUCUGCAGAUGAAGAGCAAUGGUUCCCAGUCCUGUUCCUGGGGUCUCAAAGGGAUGCCUUGCAACUGGAGAUUUCUUAAACGAUUGCCUACAGUUACUGUGUAGGGCACGGCACAGUUGGGUGACCAGGGCCAUCUGGGACUGUCUCGUGGGGGAUUUCCGGCAUCUGUGAAGGCUACCUGUGUCCUGCAUAACUUCAUGAUGAUGAACAGGAGGGGACCUGCAGCGCUCCGCCGUGUUCCAGAGGAGAGGUCUGCUGCUCUGCAGGAUGUUGCCAGGAUGGGGGCCAACAACGCAGCACAGGAGGCAAUCUGUGUGCAGGAGACCUUCACCUCCUACUUCUUCACAAAGGAUGCUGUUCCCUGGCAACACCAUAGACUACACUAUGCACAAUCAAAGGCUCUUUUAAGAGCCAUCCACAUUGCAAUAAGAGUAUUCUUCAAUUUACUUAGCUAUGUCAACUGCAGUUAUUCAAUUUCCAGUUUCUCUUCCUUUGAUUUCUACUUCGCAGGUGAGGGUGCUGUUUAGGUAGGAGUGGUGUCUGUACAAAAACAAAACAGGCUCUCACCCAUUUUGAAAACAUUUAGAACAAUUAGACACCCUAUAAGCCACACCUACACACGUGUCUAUUGCUAUAAAGAAUAGUUAACACACCUCACACAGGCCUUUUUUCAGGUGAAUACGUUUUAGAAAAAAAUAUUGGUGUGUGUUUCUGGAAAAAAAGGCCACUAUUGUCUCAAAAGUCCGUUAUUAUUAACUUUUAAAACAAUUGUUAAUCAAUAAAAGGGGCAAUCCGCAGUUAAUAUAACUUGUGCUUAGUUCAACUGUUGUACCCCAUCAGAACCCAAAAUAUAAGCUUGUUUUGCUCCAAUGUUGUAAAUGUAAACAUACACUGUAUAGCCCAAAACAUGGAUGAAGCUAUGACGUUGGAUGGUCAGUCAUUGCAUGCACAGCUCUGUCUUAGAGCGGUUACACUUCUCCAGACAAAUCCCACAGCUUUUUACAAAAACAGAGGCAGGGUUCAGCUUUUUUAUUGUUUCAACUGUGGACUGUCCCUUUAAAAAACCCAACAACCAAUCAAUACCAACGUCAAUACAAAUAGAAUCCUACUUUGUCUAACAUGAAGAUUCACAGAAUGAAAGAAAACAUAUAUUACAAUCAGUGUAAAAAGUCUGCUAGAAGUGGCCUUCGCUUGUUACACACGGACACUAGUCAAUGUUAAACUGGUCUUCCAGUAGUAAUUUCAGCCACAGUCAGACUAUUGUUCACAAGCGUGUGUGUUAUGGUUGGAAAUAUGAGUCACCAUUACUCAGGUACUAAAAGCGUUCUUGACCUAGUGGUGUAUUGGAAUGGAUUCAUAAAAGUAUAGAUCACUUUGUGGCAGCAGUGUCUGUGGGCCGGGGCUAGUUGUGGAUCAAUUUGUGGCAGGUUUCUCAGCUUGGUCUAGUCACGUGUUUGUGUAUGUGGAUCACUUUGUGGCAUGCGUCUCAUCUUGGUCUAUUCGCGUUUGUGGAUGUGGAUCACUCUCUUGCAGUUGGGGCAGCGGUGUUCUACAUCCUUACAGGAGUCAACACAGAAUGGAAUCCAAGAGCAUGGCCAGCAUCUAGAGAGAGAAGGUAUUCAGUGUGUGUAUCCAUCUCUACAGUGUAUGUGUGUUUGAGAGAAAAAAUAAUGUUUGCCACAUGUCUGCAUAUGGUGUGUGUGCUUGUAUAACUCACAUGAAGCAGCAGAGGACUCCAAAGAUGAGCCAGGUGACCAGUCCAGGGGUGUGUGUGGUCUCUGUCAGAACCUGGACCUGACAGUAGGGACACAUCAUCUGGCCGGGUACGUCUCUUAGCAGCGGCUGCUGUAUCACCACCUGGGUUACUGCAGAGGGAGGAGAAUACUGGUUAGAACCACCACCUGGGUUACUGCAGAGGGAGGAGAAUACUGGUUAGAACCAGAUAGAACUGGUCAGAACAGGAUAUAACUUCAUAGAAUUGGACAGGACUAGAAAGAAUCCCCACCACCCGGGUUACUGCAGAGGGAGGAGAAUACUGGUUAGAACCAGAUAGAACAGGACAGAACCACCACCCGGGUUACUGCAGAGGGAGGAGAAUACUGGUUAGAACUGGAUAGAACUCAAUAGAAUGGGAUAGACGGGAUAGAACUGGACAGAACAGAACAGAACCAAUUAGAACCUCCAAAAAUGGGGUUCUUUGUUCUAUAUUUCCCGCCCCCACAGAGGGUAGAGGAUUAGAAGGGUUGCUAAGGAUGGGUGUUGCUAUGGCCAGGAUAUCCAGCCAAUGCCUUGUGUGACUACUAUUUGGUUCUCGUUUUCCACGGUGUACUGUGAAUAAUAAAAUAAGGAACCGAUUGAGGUA